This 90-nucleotide transfer RNA is filed under the name Morganella morganii. RNAcentral's name for it is "tRNA-Leu". It matches the Rfam family "tRNA". Rfam says of the family: Transfer RNA (tRNA) molecules are approximately 80 nucleotides in length. Their secondary structure includes four short double-helical elements and three loops (D, anti-codon, and T loops). The record is from RNAcentral. Lineage: Bacteria; Pseudomonadati; Pseudomonadota; Gammaproteobacteria; Enterobacterales; Morganellaceae.
UGCGGGAGUGGCGAAAUUGGUAGACGCACCAGAUUUAGGUUCUGGCGCCGCAAGGUGCAUUCCCAGGUUCGAAUCCUGGUACCCCAGCCA